RNAcentral lists this long non-coding RNA (1251 nucleotides) under Salmo salar (Atlantic salmon). RNAcentral's name for it is "lncRNA (ENSSSAG00000096149.1)". The record is from RNAcentral. Lineage: Eukaryota; Metazoa; Chordata; Actinopteri; Salmoniformes; Salmonidae.
CCUCUGUUCUCUUUCUCUCCUGCAGCCUGUCCUCUGUUCUCUUUCUCUCCUGCAGCUCCUCUCUUAGUGAGGUCAGGUUGUUAUUACUGUUCUGCCUGUCUUUUUGGAGCUCUCUCACCUCCUUUGUUAGAUCAUCCAGCUCUCUCUUGAGUCCGUCUCUCUCUUGCUGAACCUCUUUCAGCUGUGUUGCAAGGCUGCUGUCCUGUUCUGUCCGCACCUUGGUUAGGCGCUCCUCUAAGGUGUGAUUGAUGUUAACACCUUGGUUAGGAGCUCCUCUAAGGUCUGGUUGAUGUUAACACCUUGGUUAGGAGCUCCUCUAAGGUCUGGUUGAUGUUAACACCUUGGUUAGGAGCUCCUCUAAGGUCUGGUUGAUGUUAACACCUUGGUUAGGAGCUCCUCCAAGGUCUGGUUGAUGUUAACUCCUUGGUUAGGAGCUCCUCCAAGGUCUGGUUGAUGUUAACUCCUUGGUUAGGAGCUCCUCUAAGGUCUGGUUGAUGAUAACACCUUGGUUAGGAGCUCCUCUAAGGUCUGGUUGCUGUUAACACCUUGGUUAGGAGCUCCUCUAAGGUCUGGUUGAUGAUAACACCUUGGUUAGGAGCUCCUCUAAGGUCUGGUUGAUGUUUACACCUUGGUUAGGAGCUCCUCCAAGGUCUGGUUGAUGUUAACUCCUUGGUUAGGAGCUCCUCUAAGGUGUGGUUGAUGUUAACUCCUUGGUUAGGAGCUCCUCUAAGGUGUGGUUGAUGUUAACUCCUUGGUUAGGAGCUCCUCUAAGGAGUGGUUGAUGUUAACACCUUGGUUAGGAGCUCCUCCAAGGUCUGGUUGAUGUUAACACCUUGGUUUGGAGCUCCUCUAAGGAGUGGUUGAUGUUUACACCUUGGUUAGGAACUCCUCUAAGGUCUGGUUGAUGUUAACACCUUGGUUAGGAGCUCCUCUAAGGUCUGGUUGAUGUUAACACCUUGGUUAGGAGCUCCUCUAAGGUCUGGUUGAUGUUAACACCUUGGUUAGGAGCUCCUCUAUGGUGUAGAUGUCUGGAUGCUGUUUGCUCUCCCUCAGCAGGACCACCUCCCACUCCACUCUGGUGAUCUCAUCCCUCAUGGCAGCCAUGGUGGUGAGGAGGGCCUGAGCCUGCUCUGCACUGAAGGGUCGCUACUCUUACCUGGCACCAUGACAGUCCCAGUCUGUUUCAAACAGCCUAAUGUUACCUGGCACCAUGACAGUCCCAGUCUGUUACCUGGCACCAUGACAGUCCCA